RNAcentral lists this ribosomal RNA (302 nucleotides) under uncultured bacterium. RNAcentral describes it as "partial 16S ribosomal RNA". It matches the Rfam family "Bacterial small subunit ribosomal RNA", at positions 508 to 809 of the family's 1533-position model. The record is from RNAcentral.
GCAGUAGCCGCGGUAAUACGAAGGGGGCUAGCGUUGUUCGGAAUUACUGGGCGUAAAGCGCACGUAGGCGGAUAUUUAAGUCAGGGGUGAAAUCCCGCAGCUCAACUGCGGAACUGCCUUUGAUACUGGGUAUCUUGAGUAUGGAAGAGGUUAGUGGAAUUGCGAGUGUAGAGGUGAAAUUCGUAGAUAUUCGCAGGAACACCAGUGGCGAAGGCGGCUAACUGGUCCAUAACUGACGCUGAGGUGCGAAAGCGUGGGGAGCAAACAGGAUUAGAUACCCGCGUAGUCCCUGUCUCUUAUAA